CUACGGGGGGCAGCAGGCGAGAAAACUUUGCAAUGUGCGAAAGCACGACAAGGUUAAUCCGAGUGGUUUCUGCUAAAGGAACCUUUUGUCGGUCCUAGAAACACCGAUGAAUAAGGGGUGGGCAAGUUCUGGUGUCAGCCGCCGCGGUAAAACCAGCACCUCAAGUUGUGAGGAUGAUUAUUGGGCCUAAAGCAUCCGUAGCCGGCUCUGUUAGUUUUCGGUUAAAUCUGUAUGCUCAACAUACAGGCUGCCGGGAAUACUGCAGAGCUAGGGAGUGGGAGAGGUAGACGGUACUCGGUAGGAAGGGGUAAAAUCCUUUGAUCUAUUGAUGACCACCUGUGGCGAAGGCGGUCUACCAGAACACGUCCGACGGUGAGGGAUGAAAGCUGGGGGAGCAAACCGGAUUAGAUACCCCGGUAGUC
This 422-nucleotide ribosomal RNA is filed under the name uncultured archaeon. RNAcentral's name for it is "partial 16S ribosomal RNA". It matches the Rfam family "Archaeal small subunit ribosomal RNA", at positions 323 to 746 of the family's 1478-position model. The record is from RNAcentral.